This 125-nucleotide ribosomal RNA is filed under the name Neogale vison (American mink). Lineage: Eukaryota; Metazoa; Chordata; Mammalia; Carnivora; Mustelidae. The record is from RNAcentral.
GUCUACGGCCAUACCACCCUGAACGCACCCGAUCUCGUCUGAUCUCGGAAGCUAAGCAGGGUCGAGCCUGGUUAGUACUUGGAUGGGAGAAUCACACAGAAGCCCACCCUGCCUUCCUGUGAGCA